RNAcentral lists this non-coding RNA (30 nucleotides) under Homo sapiens (human). Lineage: Eukaryota; Metazoa; Chordata; Mammalia; Primates; Hominidae. The record is from RNAcentral.
UGCUUACAUCAGCCAGAAGUAAUUUAUGCA